RNAcentral lists this ribosomal RNA (506 nucleotides) under uncultured Glomeraceae. RNAcentral's name for it is "SSU rRNA". It matches the Rfam family "Eukaryotic small subunit ribosomal RNA", at positions 569 to 1078 of the family's 1831-position model. The record is from RNAcentral. Lineage: Eukaryota; Fungi; Glomeromycota; Glomeromycetes; Glomerales; Glomeraceae.
CGCAGCCGCGGUAAUUCCAGCUCCAAUAGCGUAUAUUAAAGUUGUUGCAGUUAAAAAGCUCGUAGUUGAAUUUCGGGGUCAGUAGAUUGGUCGUGCCACUGGUACGUACUGGCCUCACUGAUUCCUCCUUCCUGAUGAGCCGUAAUGCCAUUAAUUUGGUGUUGCGAGGAAUCUGGACUGUUACCUUGAAAAAUUAGAGUGUUUAAAGCAGGCUAACGCUUGAAUACAUUAGCAUGGAAUAAUGAAAUAGGACGUUUGAUCUUAUUUUGUUGGUUUCUAAGAUUGACGUAAUGAUUAAUAGGGAUAGUUGGGGGCAUUAGUAUUCAAUUAUCAGAGGUGAAAUUCUUGGAUUUAUUGAAGACUAACUACCGCGAAAGCAUUUGCCAAGGAUGUUUCCAUUAAUCAAGAACGAAAGUUAGGGGAUCGAAGACGAUCAGAUACCGUCGUAGUCUUAACCAUAAACUAUGCCGACUAGGGAUCGGAUGAUGUUAAUUUUUAAUGACUCA